AUUGAAAAUUUGUUUUUUUUCCACAAAAAAAAAACAUACUUUCUAUGUUUAAUUUUACCUCAUGUUGCUUUCUUUUUUAAAGAAGAAAUUCCUUAAAAAAGGGUAGCCUAAAAUUAUUAAAUUCUUAAUUAAAAAAUCAUGUCUGAUAAAUUAAUUUUAUAAUUAAAUUA
RNAcentral lists this unclassified non-coding RNA (170 nucleotides) under uncultured fungus. RNAcentral describes it as "sequence contains ITS1, 5.8S rRNA gene". The record is from RNAcentral. Lineage: Eukaryota; Fungi.